AGCUCGGUGGUGAAACGGACAUCAUUUCUCGCUUCUAACGAGAAGUCCCAGGUUCGAUUCCUGGUCGGGCUU
This 72-nucleotide transfer RNA is filed under the name Planctomycetales bacterium. RNAcentral describes it as "tRNA-Arg". It matches the Rfam family "tRNA". Rfam says of the family: Transfer RNA (tRNA) molecules are approximately 80 nucleotides in length. Their secondary structure includes four short double-helical elements and three loops (D, anti-codon, and T loops). Lineage: Bacteria; Pseudomonadati; Planctomycetota; Planctomycetia; Planctomycetales. The record is from RNAcentral.